Molecule: long non-coding RNA, 871 nt
Organism: Anthonomus grandis grandis
Lineage: Eukaryota; Metazoa; Arthropoda; Insecta; Coleoptera; Curculionidae
Exons: 3
Source: RefSeq, a predicted model, not a curated record
AAUAAAUUUUUUGAAAUUGCUUUUAAACAUGGUUCACCGAUGAUGCUCUAAAUGUGUUUAGUGUACUUGCAGCUUUUGCUAAAACACAAUCACAGUAAACAUGUCUAAGCCGUUAUUAUACAUCUUCUUCCAUGUUAUAGUUUUGGUAAUGUUUCAGUUAUACUUUUCUGAAGCAACUUCUAAAACACAAGUGAUCAAUAAUCUUCAUAAGCAUAUGAGGAAUAUUGCAAAGUUGUCAGUAAAACUGGAUAAUGAUUUGGCAACUGCUUUAAAGGACUUUAAGAAUAAAUUAGCCAACUUACCAGCAGUGGCUGCUAAGGAAUUAAAUGGAAUUCUAAUACCGUUAUAUUUAAUUGCCUAUAGAGUAAUACAAGAUGCAGAAGAGGCAGGAAAUGAUCUUAGUAGUUGUUCCAGCCCUGUCGACAAGUUUUUCACGAUCGAAAGUUUAACAAUGGGAGGUGAAUUUCUCAGUUGCGUCACUGAACAAAUUGCAUCUUUUCAAAAACUGAAGAUGUCCGCACACUCGAAAGUGAACAAAUUGGAAAAGGAAUUACUUGCUUUAGAAGCUAAACCGUUCGCUUGCUCGGGAAAUUAUAUAGAAGAAUACAAAUGCUACGAAGAACUAAAUAUAAUAAUAAAAAAAUUAUCAACUACACAACUUCAGAUCUUUGCAGGUAUUUUUGUUAAAGUUCAAACAGCAAUUGAUACUAUUAAUAAUAAUCUAAGCUGGUGUGUUAAUAAUAAAAUUACCAAAGUCGGGACUACUGCUUCCGAUACAUAUUUUCAUGAAUUUAUUCUUUGUGCAGCCAUGAUUGGAGUACCGUAAUUUUGCUAUUCUUUGAUAUUAAUAAAAUGUGGUUUUAACGUUAAA